Neopelma chrysocephalum (saffron-crested tyrant-manakin) is the source of this 124-nucleotide long non-coding RNA. RefSeq lists it as uncharacterized. Lineage: Eukaryota; Metazoa; Chordata; Aves; Passeriformes; Pipridae. The transcript is spliced from 6 exons. The record is from RefSeq and is a predicted model, not a curated record.
AAAAGGAUGCAGAAGCAGCCAUGGAAGGAAUUGAACCCUCAUAAGCUGGUUUCAAGCCAACCACAUCAAACCACUCAUGCUUCUUUCUUAUGGGUAGUUGGACAUUCAUGGUAAGAAAAUAGAA